GUAAUUUCUUUUUUAGAUUUUCAGCCUCACGUGGGCACGUCUUAAUAUUGUUGGAGAGCGAAAAUAUUUGGCAGGUAUUAUAUUUGGAUGGUAAAAGGAACAAAGCCAGGGGGCGUCCCGAUUCAUUUUCCGAAGUCGCCCAGUUUGGACCACCCUUAUACCCUCUCCAUCUUUUUAUAAAUCCCAACCUCUUCAAUCUAUCUUAUCGAUAAGUACAACGGACGCCCACGUUUAAGUCAAGCUCUGUCUUUUUCAUGAAUUAAUGUGUUUUGAUCAAUAACUCAUCACAAUUUUCGGGUAUUUACACUUACUCGUGAACUAUUUUGAGGGUACGAGGAGACGAAGCCAUGGAUGAACCAGCUCUUUGUGAUGAAGUACCGACUGGUAAAGGACGGACUGAUGAAGUGCGGGCUGAUGGAGCACGAGUUGAUGAAGCACUGGCUGACGUAGUGCGGGCUGAAGGAAUGGCUGAUGAAUUACAGACUGAUGUAGUGCGGGCUGAUGAAGUACGGAUAGAUGAAGUGCGGGAUGGUGAAGCGCGGGCUGAUGAAGUACUGGAAGUACUGGCUGAUGAAGUACCGGAAGUACUGGCUGAUGAAAUACGAGCCGAUGAAAUACGGCCCGAUGGAGCACGAGUUGAUGAAGCACUGGCCGACGAAGUGCGGGCUGAAGGAUUGGCUGAUGAAAUACGAGCUGAUGAAAUACGGCCCGAUGGAGCACGAGUUGAUGAAGCACUGGCCGACGAAGUGCGGGCUGAAGGAUUGGCUGAUAAAACUAAAACAAAGUUUGAACCAUAUCAGAUUCAAGCAUAGAAGAUCACAACUGAUGGAUAAAAAAUAUACCUAUUUCAUCGCCUCUCCUUAUCAGAAAGUGAUUCGGUAGUAAGUAAGACAGCCAAUCAACGGUGUAAGUCCGCAACCACGUAUCUCGCUUUGUGACAUGGCAGAUUUCCUGUCAUACUUUACUUAUUUUUUAAAGGAAAAACCACUCAACAACAAUUCUUAAAAACUGAAGUCAUAUUUCUUCCCUGUGCAAAGAAAAUUCUGCGAGAACUUCAAGCAAUGAUGUUGAUUCGUUUUCCUCUAAACAAAAAAAAUAGGAGCAGAGAUUUUCAAACACCACGAACAAGAUAAGUGGUUGCGGACUUACACCGUCGAUGUGUGGGAUGGAUCCUCAUCCAUCCCAUUUAUUUAGGGACCCUCAUUUUUCUUUAACCCAAAUCAAGUUAGUAGUGUUCAUCCAAAGGGGUGAAAAUUAUUUGCUUCCAUAAAAAACAUUCAAAGUAAGAAUGUCAGCUUCAGUCACUGCAAGCUGCCUCUUCCAAUUUGCUCUCUUCCAAGAUAGGUACAUGGAAAUCGAUGGUGUAAGUCGGCAAUCACGUAUCUAGUUUGCGGUCAUAGGCGUAGAUAGGGGGGUCCUGGGGGGCCUGGCCCCCCCAGAAAUCUCGUGGCCCCCCAGAAAAACGGGAUCCUCCAUUCCUCACCCCCCCUCCCGCUCUCUUCACCACGAGAGGUGGUCCCAUGCCCCCCCCCCCAGAGAAAUUUCCUAGCUACGCCCCUGUUUGCGGUGUCUGAAAAUCUCCGCCUCUGUUAUUUUUUUGAAGGAGAACAAAUGUACAUCAUUCCCUGAAGUUUUUGCAGAAUUCUCUUCGCACAGAGAUAUAAAAAUCAUGGUAGUUUUAAAGAAUUGCCGUUGAGAAGUUUUCCGUUUAAAAAAUGAAGUAUGACAGGAAGUCUACGACGUCGCAAACCGAGAUACGUAGUUGGGGACUUACACCGUCGAUCUGCAACCAAAUCAACCGGACUUGAUUUGCAGAAAAUGAAGAAAAAGGAAAAAACUGAAACUCCGCCGUCACUCACGCAAACACAAUUUUUUUCCCAAUACAAAUUAAGUCAAAAUGAAAUUUUCGCUCUUUUUCAUACUAAUUCUUUGUUUGUCUUUAUGGUUUUGCAGUCCGACAUCUUUUUUGCGUUUUUCAAAGCCCUGUGUUUUUACCAAAGUGAGCCGUAUAUAGUGAAAAAAUUCUUGUGUUUUAGAAAAUACGAAUUUUAGUGAACGAAUUUUAUUAUUCUAUUGAAUUAUUAUUUUGACUUUUGAUUCAAUGCCCUUGAUCUGCUAACACUGACUACAUGUUUUGAAUUUGAAUCGCAAUCGUGAAAAAAUCUUUGCGGUUUACUCAAACUUUGAACUGGUAUGCUAGUCAGAUUGCUCUGUGCAGACCACAUAAUUCUAUGCAUUUAAGAAAGGCUUGAAAAGUCUAGUUUUGGUGUUUACCUAUGUUUCUAGAUAAGGAUAUGUCACCUCCAUAUUCAACUCGAAGAAUUCCAUGCGAGCUCGACGUAAUCUCAAUUGUUUUUGUAAAUACAUUCAUCUUUACUUGAUAAGAGCUGAAACACAAAAAGCAACUAUUUAAGAACAUUACUUUCAUUUUUACUGAUGAAUGUGAUAGUUUAGUUUAAAAUCAUAACGUGUCACAAUAAUAUUGUCUCUCCUCUGAAUUUUAGAAAUAAGGCCGCCUUUAUCUUCAUCCUGCUAAAUAUCUUAGGCCAUUUACACUUCUGAUAAAAAUCAGGAAUGUGCGAGAUUAACAUUUGAACAAAGUAAAAAAACAAACGAGAGUUAACAUUUACCCUGACCUAUAAAAUUUCCUAGGAAUAGAAACUCACAAUUUUUAAUUAGUUUACUUUUUUAUGCCGCGUUCAAGUCUCCAACUUGUGUAUCAACCAACCUUAACAUCUGGCUCCGUUUUCCCGACUUUGAGGCGAAUUUAUUCAAUAGUAGAAUGAACAUGUAACUUAUUAAUCCUAAGUAUAGGAGUACCAGGACAGUUUUUACGAAACUAACUUACCCAUAUCCAGCUCUUCUAAACAACCGUGUUUCUGUUUAUUCAUAAACAUUUUUCUUCUUUUUCAAUGAGGCAAAAAUCUGUAAGGAUGGUUAUAGAUCUUAAGCAGUAAAUCCAGCCAUACCACCCAUUUUCCCCCAUCACCCCCCCCCCCCCCCCCGGUAAGGAUUUUCCGAGUGAUCGGUGCUUGUUAUAGAACCAACCAUGUUUCCAGAUUGCAGCCUCUUGCGGUCAAACGAAAAAGUUCGCCCUUUUAACUAAUGUAAAUCUUGCUCGUUUGCUUAGCUUCUAAAAUGAAUAAGAUAAAAAUCGUUUAUUCCAAUCUGAUAAGGUACUUUAUUCCAUAAUACCUCUAGCAGCUGGACCCAAAAAUGAACUUGGUUUUUCCAUCAUCCACCAAUUUGUCGUAAAAUUGAUUUUCCAAAAGGCGCGUUUUUUAGAUGGCAAGAGUAUGCCUUUUUGGGAAAUGUGAUUUUAUAAAAAUUGGUGGGUGAUGAAAAAAGAACAAGGCCAUUAUUGGCUGCAGCAGCUAGAAAUGCAAAGUUUAGGUUAAAGUCCCAUCAGACAAUUGGAAAAACUAAAUGUCGCCUUCUUUUUUAGACGUAGAGGAGAUGGACAAGAUUCACAUUGGUUGAAUGGGCAAAUUUCGUCCUUUGACCCAAAAAACAAGAACUGCGAGAAAAGUUCUUGGGCAUGCAGAAAGUGCACGUAGUUUUAGCAGCAAAAUCCAAUACAUCGUCAAUUUGUCUGAAUAUGCAUCAGUUUAAGUUUAAAUAAAAUACAAAUUAAAUCACACUUCCCUGAAAAAUCCCUUUUUUAUCCCGGAAAACUUCAAUUUCCAGGAAUUAGUGCUAAAAGUCAUGCAGUUACGCAUCACCUUCUAAGAUCCUUGCCCCUUUUCAUUGGUAGACUUAUGUUAUUAUUUCCAAAAGGCUCUUAGAUUUACGUUUCAUCGCUUGCAUAUCUCAUAGUCAAUUGUCCUGAAUUCUGACCCAAGAACAUCACUUGGAAACUCAAAUCGCUCAGUGCAGUAAAAACUAAUGUAGAGUCAAAAAUAUCGAUGUCUAACUCUCGACACCAAACACUGCUACACUCAAGAAGGAUGUGUCAAAAUUCCAUGUCAUAAUUUGCAUCAGUGGCGCGGCGUGAAUGAUCGAUUAUCGAUUUUUCUCCAUUUGAAGCUGUGGUAAUAAAUCGAUCAUCAUCAAGACAAUCGUUGCGAAGAGGGUUUAUCGAUCCUUUUCUAUAGAAUUAUAUGGCAGAUCAAUUGAUUUAUCGCAAAGCGCGCCACGCCCACGCCGCCACUGAUUUGCAUUAAAUGGACGUAUAUUCUGUUUAUGCUAAAAGGAACUAUGUGAAUAGGGUUUGCAUACUACAAAGUUACUUUUACUAUCUAUUCACUUUAAAAGCUGACACCACAGGCAAACUUCGUUCGGGUUCAUAUCAGAAUCGUUAUUUAUUGUUCUCCAACUUUGAGUUGCUCUCAUGAGAUCAAUUUUUGGAAUUUGUAGGUGUUGUUUGCGCGAAACGAUGCAAUAUGAACUUGACUAAGCUGUAGUAACGGCAUUUAAUUUAUUUUUUCUCUUCCCUAAGGGUUUCUUUUCACUGACUUUUCACAUCAUAUGAAUUCUCGAAUUUCAGGUUUUAAAGUGAUUCGAUGGACGCCAUAUUUUGUGUCAGAACGGCAUGUGAUAUAUCGCAUCAAUUGGUUCAAUUUUUUCAGCUACCCGUCAUUUUUCUCCAAUUUUGAGAUCGCAAUUCUGUUGUCAGGAGACUAAAGCACUCACUUGCCAAUUUUAACAAAGAAAUUCAACGUAAUAAAGGCGUGGUAUUUUUAGAGAGAAAACAUCGUAUUCGAUACUGAUAUCGAAACUGCACUCGAAUGCGAUAUUUUCUCUCUAAAAAAACCACGUCUUUAUUACGCUGAAUUUCUUGGUUAAAAUUGGUAAGUGAGUGCUUUAGUCUCCUGACAACAGAAUUGCGAUCUCAAAAUUGGAGAAAAAUGACGAGUAGCUGAAAAAUGGAACCGAUAUAUUGAUGCGAUAUAUCGCAUGCCGUUCUGACACAAAAUAUGGCGUCCAUCAAACCAUCUUAAAUAGUGUGGCUCAAAAACCCAGCAAGUAGGAGGAGAUUGGCAUUUUCAAAAAGAGCAAUUGACAGGAAAUUAAGGAGAGAAUACGAUAAAAAUAUGGGUAUGAAUGGUUGAAUGAAGAUGCAAGAUAACGAAUCGUCAAGUAAGAGAGUUCAGAACCCUGAAACGCGAACACAUUGACUGCGAAUGAGAAUUCUGUUGUAUGAAAAUGAAACCCAAAUUAUAGGAGGUACUCUGAGAUAAAUAGUCCGUGAGAUACUCGAGAUAUACUCUGCGAUAAAAAGUCCUUGAAAUAGCGGCAUUUGCAUCGAAAUAAAGGAUGCUGAUUUAACAUUCUGGAUGUGCGACCACUCACAAAACGCCGAAUUCACCACUACAGCAGUUACUUCAGCUAUGUCAAGAUGUAGGUAAAUCUAACUGCUGUGGCGGUUAAUUGAGCGUUUUGUGAGUUGUCGCACACUUUU
Molecule: long non-coding RNA, 5401 nt
Filed under: Bemisia tabaci
Lineage: Eukaryota; Metazoa; Arthropoda; Insecta; Hemiptera; Aleyrodidae
Description: lncRNA ENSSSA2NGG011782
Source: RNAcentral